This 517-nucleotide non-coding RNA is filed under the name Ixodes scapularis (black-legged tick). RNAcentral's name for it is "Eukaryotic large subunit ribosomal RNA". It matches the Rfam family "Eukaryotic large subunit ribosomal RNA", at positions 1897 to 2278 of the family's 3401-position model. The record is from Rfam by way of RNAcentral. Lineage: Eukaryota; Metazoa; Arthropoda; Arachnida; Ixodida; Ixodidae.
AAUGUAGGUAAGGGAAGUCGGCAAAACGGAUCCGUAACCUUGGGAUAAGGAUUGGCUCUGAGGACUGAGCCGGUCGGGCUGGGGACCUGAAGCAGGAACGGCACUGCACCGGGACUGGGCGGGGCUCGCCGUUCACGCGGCGCGGCCAAGCCCGGACCAGCGUCGGGACCUUCCCGUGGAAAGCCUCAGCUGCGCGGCGUCUGAGGGCUUCGUGCCCAAAGUGCUAUGCUUCGGCCGGCAAAAAACAGUCAACUCAGAACUGGCACGGACCGGGGGAAUCCGACUGUCUAAUUAAAACAAAGCAUUGCGAUGGCCGCUGGUCGGUGUUGACGCAAUGUGAUUUCUGCCCAGUGCUCUGAAUGUCAACGUGAAGAGAUUCAUCAAAGCGCGGGUAAACGGCGGGAGUAACUAUGACUCUCUUGUUUCCUAUGGCAUGCACGCCUUGGAUUCGGGGUGAGAGCAGAUAGUUGCUUGCCUAGCGCAAAGUCGAACUCCCACCUGCUCGUGGUGCCUGCCG